AAUGUUCCAUUCGCUUCCUGUUCUCACAGCUGUCCUCUGCCCACUGCACUCACAGGUCUCUGAUGUUUUUUCAGUGAAUUAACUCCAAGAAUUUAAAAGAAAGAACAUUUCAAUAUGUUUUUCUGACAGGCCCUCCCAUGUCUGAACCUUCCUAGGCUGAAGGACUACAAGGCAUCUUCAUUGAUAUAAACUGCCGUCAUGAAAGAGGAGCAGCGAGUUGAGACCUUAAGCUGUUUUGUCAGAUUGUACUUUGGUAAUGGAUCUGUGGGUCUGCUGCUAUGUUACCCAAAGGUGUCUUUUCAAAACAGUCAGUCAUGUUUCUUCUUACCUAAUUAUAGGGGCAUCUGUUUCAAAAUGCAACUAAUCCCUCCAGGUUUUGUAGGCUGAGGAAAGGGGCGGAAGGGGUCAGUUGGAACUUGUGCUCUUAUCCCUCUUGCAAGAUUAUUCCCUAAUAUUCACAAAAGUAUUUAGAGCAUUGACAAGUAUUUGCCUUGACAAGCCUGUGGAGAACUUGAUACACUCUGCCUCAGAUAAACCAUUCCCUGAAAAAAGACAUCAGCAGAGCAUGGGAAGUUGCUUCACCUUGCUUUGAUUAAAAAAAAAAAAUACAAUUGGUAAUCUCCUUAAAAAUAUUGGCAAUCUAAUGCCUAUGGGAAUGAGCAAUUUCUGUAGUGCUGGUUAAACUGGUCUCUGCUCAGGUGGGCAUCGUGCAAACUCUUUCCAUGCAAAGAUUACGGGUCCUGUAACUCUGCUGGUAUACCAAAGCCAGCAUAGUGUAUGAAGUACGCUAUGGCAUGUUCUGGUGGUGGUGUAAGGGGACCUGUACUCUAUUCAGCUCAUGCUCUUUCUCCUUCUCUUUCCCAUUCUGCCCUGUGUGAGGUCUCAUGACGCAUUUAGGAAGAAAAUUCUGCAGUAGGUCAGCAUGGGGAAUAGCAAACCGGGAGCGUGGAGCAAUGUAGUUUGCUGCCCUGCAAGAGAGAUUUGUGUGCAGCCUUCAGUUCUGAGCUAUUCCACCAUAGCAGCUUUGCUGACUCUUUAAAACAUGUAGCCCAAGUCUCUCACUUGUAUGACACUGUUCCAGAAAUCUCUUUUUAUCUUUCCAUCACUGACCACUGUUCCAGAACUACACUUCACAAAAGCUUCAACGCUGCGCUCAGAAUUCUGCUUGGAAGGGUAAAAUUAUCAUAUAUCCUCUAGACACUUGGUGCUGGAAGAAAGGCAAUAGCUCAGCUGGAAUCAAUAAAGCUUGCUGGUUUAUCACCAGCUCAGGACGUAGCUUCAGCUGCAGGCCCAUGCAUCUUCACUGAGCCACCUGAAUCCUGCACUGGGGCUCCUCAGUCAGCAGUCGGACACCUGAAAUCUCCCUGAGAACUCUUAAUCUUACACAAGGCAGUGAGCACCCUCCAUUUAUCACUGCAGAAUGGCAGAAGAGGGUUAGGAUGUUCACCCUGCAAGAAGCAAUUUGAUUCGAGGCUUACAAGGGAAAAAGAACCUCUGAAGUCUUGGUAGCAACUUUUUUGAUCUGCUUUGAGAGAUCAAAAAAAACACAAGUGCUUCCCACCAUCUCCUGAAACACACUGCCUGUUACAGGCAAAGAUAACAGCAUCCUAUUAGAAAGGUGUGCCUUUGAAAGUUUACCAUAUUUAUUCUUACAGCGAUGAAAAAGGGAAGUAUUGUAUCCUUGUUCUACAGCAGCAAGCAACUGAGAUGCCUGGGGAAAAUAUGCUGUUCAUCUACUUUCAGCUAAUGAAAAGCUGUGCAUCCCUUUUCAGGUAUUCCUCUGUAACUGUGGGAGGGAAAUCAUAGACUCAUAGAAUCAGAGAAUGGCUUGGAUUGGAAGGGACAUCAAGGAACACCAAGUUCCAAACCCUCUGCCAGCCAUUAGAUCAAGUACUAGACCAGGCUGCCCAGGGCCCCAACCAAACUGGCCCUGAACACCCCCAGGGAUGGGGCAUUCCCAACCUCUCUGGGCAGCCUGUUCCAGCACCUCCAAACUCUCAGUAAAAAAAAUUCUCCUUAUAUCCAAUGUAAAUCUCCCUUCCUUUAGUUUAAAAACCAUUCUUCUUGGUCCUAUCAGUAUCUAUCCAUGUAAAAAGUUGAUUUUCUUCAACCAUUGCAUCCUCAAGAAACUGCACAACUAGGAUGAAGCGCUGACUGAGGAGGGAACUUUACUGAGUGCAAAGGCAAAAAUGAAACUAAAUUCUAAAUAGUCAAAAGUAGGCAGAAUUAAUUACACCCUAAAUAAUUUUCCUCAUCUCUCUCACACACAGUAAGCAUGCAGCAGAACAGGAAACAAGACUCGCUCUUCUCCAUUCUCACACUGACACUUGAGCCACCAGGACAUUUCUUCCUCGCUGCCGAGCCACCCUGCCUCUGUCUGUUCAGCAUUUAUAGCCAAGGGGACGUUUCCAAGGGCUCAGCACACGAAGCAAUAAAAUUGGCAAUUUGAA
This is a long non-coding RNA of Tympanuchus pallidicinctus (lesser prairie-chicken), 2450 nucleotides long. RefSeq lists it as uncharacterized. NCBI's taxonomy places the organism in Eukaryota, Metazoa, Chordata, Aves, Galliformes, Phasianidae. The transcript is spliced from 2 exons. The record is from RefSeq and is a predicted model, not a curated record.